RNAcentral lists this transfer RNA (71 nucleotides) under Marmota monax (woodchuck). RNAcentral describes it as "tRNA.Ala". It matches the Rfam family "tRNA". Rfam says of the family: Transfer RNA (tRNA) molecules are approximately 80 nucleotides in length. Their secondary structure includes four short double-helical elements and three loops (D, anti-codon, and T loops). Further hydrogen bonds mediate the characteristic L-shaped molecular structure. tRNAs have two regions of fundamental functional importance: the anti-codon, which is responsible for specific mRNA codon recognition, and the 3' end, to which the tRNAs corresponding amino acid is attached (by aminoacyl-tRNA synthetases). tRNAs cope with the degeneracy of the genetic code in two manners: having more than one tRNA (with a specific anti-codon) for a particular amino acid; and 'wobble' base-pairing, i.e. permitting non-standard base-pairing at the 3rd anti-codon position. Lineage: Eukaryota; Metazoa; Chordata; Mammalia; Rodentia; Sciuridae. The record is from RNAcentral.
GGGGUUGUAGCUUAGUGGUAGAGCGCUCACCUAGCUCGUGUGAGGUACUGGGUUUGAUCCUCAGCACCGCA